GUGAAAAUACGGCUUCCGUCCGAUCAGCCGUAGUCAAGCACCAGAUAGCCCAAUUAGUAUUGUAGUGGGAGACCUUACCAGCAUCCUGGGUGCUGCCAUUC
Molecule: ribosomal RNA, 101 nt
Filed under: Yarrowia lipolytica
Lineage: Eukaryota; Fungi; Ascomycota; Dipodascomycetes; Dipodascales
Also listed under: 1 other name
Source: RNAcentral